GAGUUUGAUCAUGGCUCAGAUUGAACGCUGGCGGCAGGCCUAACACAUGCAAGUCGAGCGGAUGAAGGGAGCUUGCUCCUGGAUUCAGCGGCGGACGGGUGAGUAAUGCCUAGGAAUCUGCCUGGUAGUGGGGGAGUAACGUCCGGAAACGGGACGCUAAUACCGCAUACGUCCUGAGGGAGGAAAGUAGGGGGAGUCUUCGGACCUCACGCUAUCAGAUGAGCCUAGGUCGGAUUAGCUAGUUGGUGGGGUAAAGGCCUACCAAGGCGACGAUCCGUAACUGGUCUGAGAGGAUGAUCAGUCACACUGGAACUGAGACACGGUCCAGACUCCUACGGGAGGCAGCAGUGGGGAAUAUUGGACAAUGGGCGGAAAGCCUGAUCCAGCCAUGCCGCGUGUGUGAAGAAGGUCUUCGGAUUGUAAAGCACUUUAAGUUGGGAGGAAGGGCAGUAAGUUAAUACCUUGCUGUUUUGACGUUACCAACAGAAUAAGCACCGGCUAACUUCGUGCCAGCCGCCGCGG
RNAcentral lists this ribosomal RNA (522 nucleotides) under uncultured microorganism. Its description in RNAcentral is "bacterial SSU rRNA". It matches the Rfam family "Bacterial small subunit ribosomal RNA", at positions 9 to 520 of the family's 1533-position model. The record is from RNAcentral.